Long non-coding RNA from Neopelma chrysocephalum (saffron-crested tyrant-manakin), 1466 nucleotides. RefSeq lists it as uncharacterized. NCBI's taxonomy places the organism in Eukaryota, Metazoa, Chordata, Aves, Passeriformes, Pipridae. The transcript is spliced from 4 exons. The record is from RefSeq and is a predicted model, not a curated record.
GGCCAAAGAGUUACCUCAUGGCUUAUGCAGGCACCCACACACAAAUUUCAGGACUUGUUCACCUUAUCCACACUUAAACUCACUCGUAGUGGUAACAAGUCCCCUUCAGCUCUCUUGUUGCACAGAGAGAACAUUUGUGUUCUCCUAAAAGUGGGAUGUGCCCUUUGGUGACACAGCCAACUGCUUGUAGGUGGCCUAUACAGGUGGCUCAAAAAUCAUUAGAGAAAGCUAUUAAUGAAAAUAAUUUUUGAAGUGUACCUUAGGGGGAUGCAGCAUCUGAGCAGCAGCCACCUGUGGUGCAGGGGCCGGGGAUGCAAACACCAAAGCAUGUGGUGCAUCUGCACCAGGGUCUCAGGACACUGAAGAACACCAACCAAUUCACAGCCCUGUCAGACCUGGUACAGCCUUGUCAGGAUGUAGCUAUCCUGACUGGGAUGUCAUUACUUUCUGAAAUGGAUAGGCUUAUGUAGCCCACUGAGACAAUGAAGAGGUGCUGACUCCCUGGUUGCCAAAUUCAGCGUUCCUUAUGUCACAGAUCUUUCAGACUUGAAGUUUAGACUGGAAAACUGUAAUUCCUCCAGCCACAAAAGAAGAGAAGAAUUUAUUUUCUCUAGAAAUCAGAUCCUCUGUGAAAUGAACUUCCCAGGGCUUUUUGGCAGUAAGUGUGAACUCAUCACCACAGCUUGGAAUGGAGAGCUGAAAGUGGCCCAGAAAAAGGAAGAAGCAGGCUCAGUGAAUGGAAUGACUUCUGUGUGAGAAAAAGCAAAAUAUACUGGGUAUUUUCAUCUUGGGGAAGAGAUGAAGCCUGAUAACAUCAUGAAUGGAUGAAACCCCAGAAGUUACUAUGUCACCAGGAGCAGGAGAGGGUCACUCAGUGCCUGCAUUACUUCUCAUAUGCUUCACUUGAGUGUUUCCUGCUGACCACACUAAGGGUAUAGAGCCAGGCUUUUCCUCAUCUUCCAUCACUAUCUGACAUGGGAGACCUAAAUGUAUCAGCGUCUGUCCCUCACAGCUCUUCAAAAUGUCAGAGAAACAGCCAAAUCCCUAUUUACAAGGGGAUCACUGUCCUAGGAAAGGUCUACUGGGAUGGGAAAGGCCCUGAGGGACUGACAGCCACCUUCUUCCUCCCCGUGCUCUGUGGUGCCCUGGAGAAAUGGCUAUGAAGCACCUUGCCAUGCCAGCCCUUCUCCUGCCAGUCCUCCCAGAACUUGCUGCCUCUGGGCUGCAUCCAGUCCUUGUGACUAAGGCACAGUGAGAGAGGAAAAAGAACCCCUCAGUGCAGCAAAACCCUCAAGUCCUUAGUCAACACCGAAGCGAAGCCUACGUGGUUUGGUCAAAAUCCAGCAGCACAUCUGUGGAAGAGGUGGGAGCUGGAUCCAACCCUUUUCUGACUUGGAUAGUAACCUGUAAUUACAGUUGUCAGACUGUAAGACACCUAAUAUAUCCUUCUUCAAUAUUCUUUUUUC